AGAACCAGCAUUUUCCCCAUGACCUAGACUUGCAGAAGCACCCCAAAGCCCUCCGAUGCUGUUCAAUGAAUUAGUUCCUGUAUGCACACCACCAGACCCAGGAAAAGUCCUCAAGUGUGAGGAGUUUGUACCAGCAGAGUUGCCAACAUUUCCCCACAGAUUCUGAACCGAUGAGCUUAAAUUAGAACCAUUACCUCCACUGCCACCACCAUAUACCAUGGGGUUUGGGCUACCAUACCUAUUUAAAUUUCCACCAUACGAG
Molecule: unclassified non-coding RNA, 262 nt
Filed under: Hevea brasiliensis (rubber tree)
Lineage: Eukaryota; Viridiplantae; Streptophyta; Magnoliopsida; Malpighiales; Euphorbiaceae
Source: RNAcentral